AUUGAACGCUGGCGGCAUGCUUUACACAUGCAAGUCGAACGGCAGCGCGGGCUUCGGCCUGGCGGCGAGUGGCGAACGGGUGAAUAAUGCAUCGGAACGUGCCCAGUAGUGGGGGAUAGCCCGGCGAAAGCCGGAUUAAUACCGCAUACGACCUGAGGGUGAAAGCGGGGGACCGAAAGGCCUCGCGCUAUUGGAGCGGCCGAUGUCGGAUUAGCUAGUUGGUGGGGUAAAGGCUUACCAAGGCGACGAUCCGUAGCUGGUCUGAGAGGACGACCAGCCACACUGGGACUGAGACACGGCCCAGACUCCUACGGGAGGCAGCAGUGGGGAAUUUUGGACAAUGGGGGCAACCCUGAUCCAGCCAUGCCGCGUGCGGGAAGAAGGCCUUCGGGUUGUAAACCGCUUUUGUUCGGGAAGAAAUCCUCUGGGCUAAUACCCCGGGGGGAUGACGGUACCGGAAGAAUAAGCACCGGCUAACUACGU
This 483-nucleotide ribosomal RNA is filed under the name uncultured bacterium. RNAcentral describes it as "partial 16S ribosomal RNA". It matches the Rfam family "Bacterial small subunit ribosomal RNA", at positions 29 to 506 of the family's 1533-position model. The record is from RNAcentral.